CAUUUUUCCAUAACAACAAACGUACGACACCAUUAUUUUGACCGUUCUCUUUGGCUAAUUAUUUUGUUGUUUCAUUAUUCAAGGAACCAACAACGUGACUUCCAUUUAUAUGGAAACAACGCAGUUUUGAAUUGAUAGAGUACCAACGUGACUUGGUAUUUUACGGAAGAAAAAUGUAAUUUUUUCUCAAGAACAACAUUCGGGUUUUGCUCACCGCUUCGAUCUCGUUGUUCCGUCUUAUCGUGUUGUUGAAUCCGGGUUUUCUUCGUAGUGAAGUAAGGUGGAAGAAGAUUAUUUCUUGGAAUAUAAGAUUGGCGAAGCCCGAAGUUAUGGUUAACUUGAGAAGCGACAAGGUACAGAUACUCGAUUUGGCGAUCCUCCAUCUUAGGACUUCUACUCAGCUGUCUUGGAGAGCUCCAUUGUUUCGGAGCCUAGACUUUUGGUACAAAUCCUUUUUGAUGUAUAUAUAUGUUUACCCAGGGGUACGACGGGGCCCUGUCCCGUUAUAUUUCACUAUCGAUACUCUUAGAGGUCUGUAGACAUAUGUGUGGGUUGUGUAUAAGUAUUUUUCAGCUGUGUCUAUAUGGCUUACGUAUGAUAUUGGCAUGUUGUGACAGCCUUGUCGGCUUACGUAUGGUAUUGACUUUUUGUGGUAGCCUUGUCGGCUUG
This is a long non-coding RNA of Lycium barbarum (goji berry), 669 nucleotides long. RefSeq lists it as uncharacterized. Lineage: Eukaryota; Viridiplantae; Streptophyta; Magnoliopsida; Solanales; Solanaceae. The transcript has 3 exons. The record is from RefSeq and is a predicted model, not a curated record.